Balaenoptera ricei (Rice's whale) is the source of this 517-nucleotide long non-coding RNA. RefSeq lists it as uncharacterized. The transcript is spliced from 3 exons. NCBI's taxonomy places the organism in Eukaryota, Metazoa, Chordata, Mammalia, Artiodactyla, Balaenopteridae. The record is from RefSeq and is a predicted model, not a curated record.
AUCAACUAGCCAUGGAAGAAUUCCCAGAGUUUGAAUCCCUAGGAGAUCAGCACUUGAAGAGACUUGGCUGGAAAAUGAUGACAUGGAAAAAAAAAGACUGCAUUUCUCACCCUCCCUUGGAGCUGAACUUGGCUCUAUGACUCACUUCUGGGCAAUGAGCUGUAGGAAGAAGUAAUAUGUACAACUUCUGCAAAAUGUCUUCAGGAAAGAAGAAACAUGACUUCUCUUUUCUCCUCCUGCUGGAUGGAAUUGUGAAAAAUUAAUAAACAGAGACCUCAGUUAAAUAAAGUUGGGAGACCAGAAGGGGGAGCUCUCAUGUCCUGCAACCAUAGCACAGUCCAACAGGAAGAAGAAAGACUCCUCUUCCUUUCCUGCAAGGACUCAGCCAAUGAAAAGUUAUGGACUACUAUAGCACUCCCAACUUCCUUUUCCUCUCUAUAAAAGUAUCCUCCUUGCCUUUUCUUGCUAGGGACUUGCACAUUGCUCCUCAUAAUUGCAGACCCCGAAUUGAAAUUCU